CCCCUAGAUCCGCCCCUGUUUAAGACUAAUGUACUCAUUACUCUCUGUACUUAUUAAUUGGGCCAAGGACUAGUUAGCAUCAUAAAUGUACCUUACAACAGGAAAUUUAAGAGCUAGGGACUAAAUUUUUGGUGAUAUAUUGCGUGGUAGUAUCAGUUGCUAUAAGAACAAGGAUUGCUCAAGAUCACUUGAUAUCAAGAUACAGAUGACUUUAUUUCCACUCUCAAAAGAAUCCCAAGAAUUAAUAAUACCAGAACACAUUUACACACUUUCAUGAAUCAUGAUGCUUUACUGAGUGUACUUUGUUUUGUCAUUAAA
Amphimedon queenslandica is the source of this 318-nucleotide long non-coding RNA. RefSeq lists it as uncharacterized. The transcript has 2 exons. NCBI's taxonomy places the organism in Eukaryota, Metazoa, Porifera, Demospongiae, Haplosclerida, Niphatidae. The record is from RefSeq and is a predicted model, not a curated record.